Molecule: ribosomal RNA, 466 nt
Filed under: uncultured bacterium
Lineage: Bacteria
Description: partial 16S ribosomal RNA
Rfam family: Bacterial small subunit ribosomal RNA
Source: RNAcentral
GACGAACGCUGGCGGCGUGCUUAACACAUGCAAGUCGAACGGUAAGGCUCCAGCUUGCUGGGGUACACGAGUGGCGAACGGGUGAGUAACACGUGGGUGACCUGCCCUGCACUUCGGGAUAAGCCUGGGAAACUGGGUCUAAUACCGGAUAGGACCAUGGUGUGGAUACUGUGGUGGAAAGUUUUUUCGGUGUGGGAUGGGCCCGCGGCCUAUCAUCUUGUUGGUGGGGUAAUGGCCUACCAAGGCGGCGACGGGUAGCCGGCCUGAGAGGGUGGACGGCCACAUUGGGACUGAGACACGGCCCAGACUCCUACGGGAGGCAGCAGUGGGGAAUAUUGCACAAUGGGCGGAAGCCUGAUGCAGCGACGCCGCGUGGGGGAUGACGGCCUUCGGGUUGUAAACUCCUUUCACCAUCGACGAAGGGUUUCUGACGGUAGAUGGAGAAGAAGCACCGGCUAACUACGUG